CAAUGCUUCUGUAGUUCCAGGGGAGAGUCCAAAUGUGGUAAACAGCUCCUCCCUUCAGGCUUCUGCAGGGGCGUGCUGUGCCAGAUGGAGCACUUGACACUGUGCCUCUAACUUUCCGUCACCAGCAGAAUUCAGCCUCAAAGGGUGUCAUAAAAUUAUAGUUAUUCAGGAGCACAAAUCCACAACUCUAUGAAGUUAAGGUGAAGCUAACGUUGACACUAGCUCCCUGCUGCUCCCAGCCUUCAGAAAGCACAAGGCUGGCACUUGGUGUGGAUCCUCCAGGAGAGAUUUCCCCAGGAGCUCGCAAGCUCCCUCUGCUGGACCUCGGCCUGGUGAAGCCUGCUCGGUCCCUAUCCAAGUCCUGAGACUCCAACUCCGCAAGGAAUCAUUGCUGGUGAGGUUAGGACCUUGAAACCCACAGUCAGGACCCACUGGUUAACUGACAUGUAUGUUUCACUUUCACCCUCUAAACAUUAAUGACUACAAUUACACAAUGACGAACACAACUGAAAUAAGAUUCCAAAAUACCUAGAUCUUCUCUUAUUGAAAAUAAACAGCUCUGAAAAAAAUCACAACUUUCAGACUCUAAAGAAAGGCUGCUGACAUAUAGUGUGUUAGUAAGAGUAAUGUUUUUUGAACGAUGUAGAUAUGUACACUUUAUGCAUGCAGAACGUUUCAAAUGACUUCUUUUUCAUACCUCUUAAUUUAUUCCAAUUUUUGAAUAGUAUUUAAUUCAUUGUGGUUUGUGACAGAAACAAAAUUUAAAUUCUGUAUUAUAGAAAUAUAAGCCAUAAGAUUUUGUCAUGUUAAUAUAUGUUAGAUUUAAAAUAAUAUAAUGUCCUUUGCAAUUUUUUAAGAAUU
Heterocephalus glaber (naked mole-rat) is the source of this 861-nucleotide non-coding RNA. The record is from RefSeq and is a predicted model, not a curated record. NCBI's taxonomy places the organism in Eukaryota, Metazoa, Chordata, Mammalia, Rodentia, Bathyergidae.